RNAcentral lists this ribosomal RNA (496 nucleotides) under uncultured bacterium. RNAcentral's name for it is "partial 16S ribosomal RNA". It matches the Rfam family "Bacterial small subunit ribosomal RNA", at positions 28 to 506 of the family's 1533-position model. The record is from RNAcentral.
GAUGAACGCUGGCGGCGUGCCUAAUACAUGCAAGUCGAGCGAACGGACGAGAAGCUUGCUUCUCUGAUGUUAGCGGCGGACGGGUGAGUAACACGUGGAUAACCUACCUAUAAGACUGGGAUAACUUCGGGAAACCGGAGCUAAUACCGGAUGAUAUUUUGAACCGCAUGGUUCAAAAGUGAAAGACGGUCUUGCUGUCACUUAUAGAUGGAUCCGCGCUGCAUUAGCUAGUUGGUAAGGUAACGGCUUACCAAGGCAACGAUGCAUAGCCGACCUGAGAGGGUGAUCGGCCACACUGGAACUGAGACACGGUCCAGACUCCGACGGGAGGCAGCAGUAGGGAAUCUUCCGCAAUGGGCGAAAGCCUGACGGAGCAACGCCGCGUGAGUGAUGAAGGUCUUCGGAUCGUAAAACUCUGUUAUUAGGGAAGAACAUAUGUGUAAGUAACUGUGCACAUCUUGACGGUACCUAAUCAGAAAGCCACGGCUAACUACGU